UGAAAGACUAAGAGCUAUACUGGGUGAAUGGAGUGCUCGAGCAGCAAAGCUCGAAUGUGCAUUGAAGGCCGAGCGGCUAUUAAACAAGGAAUUACAGAAGAAGAUAUCAAAGCUAAGAAACCAUUCGACAAAAUCAUCCGAACAGCGUGGAGAUUGAUCUCCUGUCGGGUUUGAAUCUUGUACAUGUUUAUAGCUUCUCUUUCUUUCUUUGGGUUGAAAAAGGCUAGUGCACCUUACUGGUUGUGGAUUGAAUUCUCUAUUGUAUAAAGCACUCGAUGUCAGUGUUGAUGUUGUACUAGGGACGGGCCUGUGGAACAACGUCUAGGAUUCAAGCGUUGAGACUCUGAUCCAGACUUCUAUACAAAGCCAAAAAUGAUAAAACAAAACAAAAGAAAAAGAAUAUGUGAAAUGCGUUACUACUGCAGUUGAUUUGA
Molecule: long non-coding RNA, 434 nt
Organism: Magnolia sinica
Lineage: Eukaryota; Viridiplantae; Streptophyta; Magnoliopsida; Magnoliales; Magnoliaceae
Exons: 2
Source: RefSeq, a predicted model, not a curated record